CAAGUCGACUUGUCCUUUUGAUUAGCAAUAGUCAAAAGAGAGUGGCGCACGGGUGAGUAACACGUAGAUAAUCUACCCUCAGGACUGACAUAAUGUAGAGAAAUCUGCACUAAUAUCAGAUGAAACAAAAUCCUGGCAUCAGAGAUUUUGUCAAAGUUUUAACGCCUGAAGAUGAGUCUGCGGUCCAUUAGGUAGUUGGCGGUUUAACAGACCACCAAGCCGACGAUGGACAGCUGGGUCUGAGAGGAUGAUCAGCCACACUGGAACUGAGACACGGUCCAGACUCCUACGGGAGGCAGCAGUAAGGAAUAUUGCUCAAUGGGAGAAAUCCUGAAGCAGCAACGCCGCGUGGAGGAUGAAGGGCUUUCAGCUUGUAAACUCCUGUAAAGAAGGAAAAAAUUCCCAUUAGAUGGGAGAUGAUGGUACUUCUAAAGUAAGCCCCGGCUAACUACGUG
RNAcentral lists this ribosomal RNA (455 nucleotides) under uncultured bacterium. Its description in RNAcentral is "bacterial SSU rRNA". It matches the Rfam family "Bacterial small subunit ribosomal RNA", at positions 58 to 507 of the family's 1533-position model. The record is from RNAcentral.